Molecule: long non-coding RNA, 920 nt
Organism: Triticum aestivum (bread wheat)
Lineage: Eukaryota; Viridiplantae; Streptophyta; Magnoliopsida; Poales; Poaceae
Exons: 3
Source: RefSeq, a predicted model, not a curated record
CCUCCCGAUCUCCUCUCUUCCCGAACCUCCGGUCCUCCUCGGUCUCGCCCUCCUCCCUCUCCUCUGACUCUGAGCCCGCCGACGUGGGCCCCGUCUCCGUGUCCUCGGCCAUGCCGGCGGCGGCAACGAUGCGGUCUGGCGUCGGCGCCGGCGGAGUUCCCGUCUCGUCCCCUUGCCUAUUAAUCCUGUGUUUGGACCAAGCACGACACCACCUCGGUGUUGCACGCCGCGACAAUGCCCGCCCGGGCUCAAAUCCCCCUCCCCUCACGAACUCCUCCUGGACGCGCCGCCACCCACGCUCAGACCUCGCCGCCGCCCAUGGCCUCCGUCCACGCAGGGAGAUCAAACGAGCAGAUCGAGCGGCGGCCAGAUCCAUCUGCCACGGUCGCCCAGGGCUCGCGCGCCUCGGACGACGCGGCCGUGUCCGUACGUCAAGGGCCUGGGCAGAGACGCUUCUUCUCCGCCAUGGCCAUGGAGCUUCCUCCCAAUCCAAGGUCUUGGACUGGACGGGGACGGCUGCUCUUCCAAGGUGCCUACAAAGAAGGUUGACAAAGAAAAUAGUAAUCUGAACUUGCAAAAUAUUCAUUUACAGAGAUCUAGUCCUAAUAAGACUCCAGGUUCAAGGCCAACUGCUAUUUCUAAAAAUGCGCUCAUACAAGUUGCAGCAAGGCAUUCUUGAAUGUUUAAAGCAAUGGAUCCAAAGAACUAGCUGGACUAGACUCUAGAUCAUGGACAAUUUAGUCUUCGCAGUUAAUUAGGAUGGCUAAAUUACAUUUGAGUUUCAUUUGAUGGAUAUUUGCUAUGAGAAUUAUGAAUUUUAUGAAUCUACAUAUUAUUCGUAUGGUUUUGAAUAUUGUAAUUGAAAGCCUGUUUUUUAAUGGUUGCAAUAGGCUAUUACGAUAACCCACUUUCGGUUGACA